This 253-nucleotide ribosomal RNA is filed under the name uncultured bacterium. Its description in RNAcentral is "partial 16S ribosomal RNA". It matches the Rfam family "Bacterial small subunit ribosomal RNA", at positions 524 to 776 of the family's 1533-position model. The record is from RNAcentral.
UACGGAGGGGGCAAGCGUUGUUCGGAAUGACUGGGCGUAAAGGGCGCGUAGGCGGCCUGUUAAGUCGAACGUGAAAUCCCCGGGCUCAACCCGGGAACUGCGUCCGAUACUGGCUGGCUUGAAUGCGGGAGAGGGAUGCGGAAUUCCAGGUGUAGCGGUGAAAUGCGUAGAUAUCUGGAGGAACACCGGUGGCGAAGGCGGCAUCCUGGACCGGUAUUGACGCUGAGGCGCGAAAGCCAGGGGAGCAAACGGG